CAGUCGCCGCGGUAAUACGAAGGGGGCUAGCGUUACUCGGAAUUACUGGGCGUAAAGGGCGCGUAGGCGGCGCUCCAAGUUAGGCGUGAAAGUCCUGGGCUCAACCUGGGAACUGCGCUUAAGACUGGAGUGCUUGAGGAUGGAAGAGGGUUGUGGAAUUCCCAGUGUAGAGGUGAAAUUUGUAGAUAUUGGGAAGAACACCGGUGGCGAAGGCGGCAACCUGGUCCAUUACUGACGCUGAGGCGCGACAGCGUGGGGAGCAAACAGGAUUAGAGACCCGCGUAGUCCCUGUCUCUUAUAC
This 301-nucleotide ribosomal RNA is filed under the name uncultured bacterium. Its description in RNAcentral is "partial 16S ribosomal RNA". It matches the Rfam family "Bacterial small subunit ribosomal RNA", at positions 509 to 807 of the family's 1533-position model. The record is from RNAcentral.